Long non-coding RNA from Spea bombifrons (plains spadefoot toad), 683 nucleotides. RefSeq lists it as uncharacterized. The transcript is spliced from 2 exons. The record is from RefSeq and is a predicted model, not a curated record. NCBI's taxonomy places the organism in Eukaryota, Metazoa, Chordata, Amphibia, Anura, Pelobatidae.
CACUACCAUGCCUCUGGAAGACAGGCAUACAGCAGCAAACAUUGCAAACUGGUUAGAGGAGCAUUCAGGAAUUUAGAGAGCUGUUAGUGCUGCAAGAGCACUAGUUGAACAUUUUAAAAAAGUGAGCUAGCCAGCAGCAAGUUGAAGGAGAAGCAAAUGGGUACAGCUGAGCACAAGCUUCUUUAAGAUGUAAGCACAAGAUGGAAUAGUACUUACUAUAUGGUUGGCAGACUCAUUGAACAAAGGUGUCCGGUAACUGCCACUCUGUCUGACCCAUCAGUUACAAAAAGGGGCAAACAUUAUCUGGAAUUAAAACCAGACCAGUAGAGUAUUUUGGAAGAACUUUCCACUGCUCUUAAGCCCUUUGAAUGCGCUACUGUAUUCAUGAGUGGCCAGGAAUAUAUAACACUAUCUUCCAUGCCUGCCCUUGUGAAGGGGUUGUUGUGGUCAAAUGAGAGUGCCUAUUUUGACUCAUCUCCGCUAAAGAGCUUCCAAGCCACUGCAACAGACCAGCUUCAAAGCAGAUGGAAGGGGAUCCUUUUCUAAAAGGUCCAAAACACUGUAAUUAUUUCCUCUGCCCUGGACCCACCAUUUAGAAGAUUGAAAUGUUUAAUACCAGAGCAAAUCAUAAGUGUACAUUAGCCCUUAUACUGUCUCUUAAGCCCAAAUCUAACUAGAUAGAA